CAUUCCAGAACCACAUUUGCAGAGGUUAUUGAAUUCAAGUGGUACUGAGUUAAAAUAUGGCAGAGAUAUUUCUGUUCUUCCCCAUAUGAUUUGGCUUGCCAAGGUGAAGAUUUAGACCAGAGAUUGUACUGACAAACACCAUGAGAGCUCAUGUUAUCUACCUGCUGCAAUUUGACUUCAAAGGAUACAGUAACAUGAAAGUUUUUUAGAUUUCCCGAUGAUGUGUCUUGGGAAUUAGUAUUUUUGUCAAGUGCCUCUUAGCACUAGGCAUUUUAAACAAAAUAAAUUGGUUUUUUUCCAUGCAAGGGUGAUUUUUGGAUCCAGUUAAAGAAGCUUAUCACUCCAUUUUAUAUGUAAGUAAGACAGGAAAUUAAAUCUGCAAACUGUUUCAUGACAAGUCAUGCUAAACAUCCUGUAUGUGUCCUGAGUUGAUACAGAGAAAUGAGAAUUUUAAAAUUAUGGUGUGUAUGUAUAUGCACAUGCAUAAGCAGUUGUAUAGCAGUAACAUGAAAACUUGUAAAUAUUUGUAAAGUGAAUGUGGAUGUAAACUUUCUAUUGUGAAUAGCUUUUUAAAUCUAAUAAAUGCACCUAGUGGUGUAAGUAAUGUGUGCCUUGUAAAGUAUAUCCUGUAGCUCAGGGGUCCCCAACCCCCAGGCAGCUGACUGGUACCGGUCCGCAGCCUGUUAGCAACCGGGCCACGAAGCCUGGCUGUCCCAUGACGCUUUGCAGCCUCGCUGCCCCACCUCCCUUGCGGUGCCUCCUCCACCCUCCGUUUCUAUAAUUUUAAGGCCGGGGUUGGGGCGGUGAAGCGCCGCCUUUCCCAGCUCUUUAAGAGCAGACCCCCUGGAGACAAGGGCAGCGCUGCUUCUUCAGCAGGUUGCUCGCUGCGGUUUCCCCCACCGAUUGGCAGUGGUGUCAGCCCUUUAAAAGCUGGGGAAGGCAGCGCUUCACCGCCCCUUCUCUGGCCUUAAAAUUGUAAAAAUGGAGGGUGGAGGAGGCACCACGAAGAGAGACAGGAUGGCGAGGCUGCAUGAUCACAGGGGGCGGGAGGCUGCAUGGUGCCAAAUUUGGUGCCCUCACCCUGCUGGCCCUGGGGCCAUGGUGAGCGGGCUGGCCCUGGUGCCGGUCCCCGGUGCCACAAAUGUUGGGGACCACUGCUGUAGCUCACCUUGCAAAUUAUUUAGGGGGUCAUGCCAGUGUUUGACUCAUCAUGUCAUGUCUCCCCUCCCCUCACAACACAUUGCAGCUAUGCCUUUUUUUUUGUGGGAUUAAAGAUGUUUCCCUUUGAGGCUGCAAGAGAAAAGUAAUACUUCUGAGCAAGUGAGACAAAAUAGAUGUUAACAUGUAGGUGUUUGCUUAUUGGUUGUUGACACACAGGAUAAUUGCAAAGCUGCUCUAGCUUUAAAGGAUGUAUAUGAAAUGCCAAUGGAAACUUGUGAAUGGUUUAAAACACCAUGUACUUGUGUAAAAUGGCCACGUUACAGUGUUGGAAAAUUAGAUCAUGAUGUUGUGUUUUAAAACUAACUUCUAAAAAUCUUCAGACUGUUGUAUUGCUGCUGUUCAGAGCAGAAGAAAUUUGCAUCUAAAAGUUUAUUUUAGCACUAGUGAAAUAUUUCAAAAAUUAAUGAUAAAGACUGUUAAUAGCUACAGGCCUUCCAAUGUAUAUUGUUAUUAUAAUUGUGCAAUAAACACAUGGAGUUCUAUCCUUCCUUGUUGAUUCUUGUAACAAGAACCAAGAUUCAGCUCUAGCUACAGGAGCUUCAGUGCCUAUACAGGAAACUGUUCCACUAAUUUUAAUAAAACCAGUGUGUAGCAAACAAGUCUUAAAUUAUAAUCCAGUUAAUUUUUACAGUUGUAUAUGGAUUAAAAUUUACCAAAUUACCCACAAAUUAAAUGGGAUUGCCUGAGCCUGUGAUGAUGUAAAACCCAAUAAGCUUUGGUGCCCAAAUAACCAGACAGCUCACCUUAGGAUAUUUCCUGUUUGUGCUGAGAUCCUUUGUGUAUCUUGUUGCUUAGAAAAUACAUGCUAUUUUGUUACUGAGAGGGAAUAUGAACCAUGUUCUUCCUGUUCCUGCUCUAACAUCUUAAUUUUCUGUAUGCUUAGAAUUUUCUGUUAUCCUAUCUAAACUUCAUGGUAAUCAUCUGAACAAUAUUUUCCUUUGGAACCUAAAAUUAUAACAUCAUUGGAACUGU
Molecule: long non-coding RNA, 2193 nt
Organism: Heteronotia binoei (common prickly gecko)
Lineage: Eukaryota; Metazoa; Chordata; Lepidosauria; Squamata; Gekkonidae
Exons: 2
Source: RefSeq, a predicted model, not a curated record